Molecule: long non-coding RNA, 914 nt
Organism: Sapajus apella (tufted capuchin)
Lineage: Eukaryota; Metazoa; Chordata; Mammalia; Primates; Cebidae
Exons: 2
Source: RefSeq, a predicted model, not a curated record
UUAGUCCAGACCAAGAAACAAGCAAGCUUUAAUUUCUGAGUACACAAUUAUUGCUACGCCAGUAGCAACCUGCAUCUUUGUCUUAUCUCUUCAGCCUCUUAGAGGUCUCAAGACACUGUCAAAGCUUUCCUUUAAACUCCCUUAAGCAUUACUUAUAUUAUUCAAGUUUAAGACACAGCAAAUCUACCCAAGUGUAUAUGGCUGGCUCACUUCUUAUAAAUGAAUCCAUUAGAAAGUGUCCCCUAAUUCAACACUAUUUUCUCUAACCUGCUUGAUUUUCUAAAAGUGGAAAAAAUAAUUCUGGUGUACCAAAACCAGAGCCCAGGUUUUUCAACAUCUUCAGUUAAAUGAUCUUUAAUUCCCCAAUCAAGUUAUAACACACAAAUGUUAUCUGCGCUUUACAGCAUAAAACUCUGAGCAGCUGGUGUCUUUUGGAUGGUGUAACCAUUACACAGCAGUAUAUGCUUGUCACCCUGGUCUUCUUUAGCCUCAAAAAAUAUUCAGAAUUUGUUAUCCACACGGAAGAGUUCUUAUAGCAGCACACUCAGUUACAAAAAGACCAAAAAAAUUUUUAUUGCUUUACAACAAGCCAGCAACAAACACAACUGAAUAAUUAUAAACAUGACACUUCUAAAUCCUCAAAUGGAAUUCCAAGACCAGAGUGUGCUUCUCCAUGUAAAUUGCAUUUGUUAAAACUAAAAUCCACAACCUCUGGCAAGUACUUCAAUAUUCUCAAGCAGAAUCAAUACUUAAAGAGGGGGAAAAAAAACCCUAUUAUCCAACUUAUUGCCUUAUGUGUGAUAAUAUAAUUAGCCUUUCAUGCUUGAUCCUGGCAGUGCUAUUACCACACAUUUUAAGUGACCAUCAUGGGCACUUUUAAGAACCUAACACUUUUGUCUUCCUACAAACUUCAC